This 396-nucleotide long non-coding RNA is filed under the name Nicotiana tabacum (common tobacco). RNAcentral describes it as "long non-coding RNA (NTAB_LNC007007)". Lineage: Eukaryota; Viridiplantae; Streptophyta; Magnoliopsida; Solanales; Solanaceae. The record is from RNAcentral.
AUGCUCAGUUCAGGGUUGGAGCCCUAAUGCUGGCUAAAUGGAAGAAUGCUCAGUUUAGGGUUGGAGCCCUAAUGCUGGCUAAUAGAAAAAUGCUCAGUUUAGGGUUGGAGCCCUAAUGUUGGCUAAUAGGAAAAUGCUCAGUUCAGGGUUGGAGCCCUAAUGCUGGCUAACAGAAAAUGCUCAGUUCAGGGUGGAGCCCUAAUGCUGGCUAACAGGAAAAUGCUCAGUUCAAGGUUGGAGCCCUAAUGCUGGCUAGAUGGAAAAUGCUCAGUUCAGGGUUGGAGCCCUAAUGCUGGCUAACAGAAAAAAUGCUCAGUUCAGGGUUGGAGCCCUAAUGCUGGCUAAAUGGAAAAUGCUCAGUUCAGGGUUGGAACCCUAAUGCUGGCUAACAGAAAA